Molecule: ribosomal RNA, 253 nt
Filed under: uncultured bacterium
Lineage: Bacteria
Description: partial 16S ribosomal RNA
Rfam family: Bacterial small subunit ribosomal RNA
Source: RNAcentral
UACGGAGGGAGCUAGCGUUGUUCGGAAUUACUGGGCGUAAAGCGCACGUAGGCGGCUUUGUAAGUUAGAGGUGAAAGCCCGGGGCUCAACUCCGGAACUGCCUUUAAGACUGCAUCGCUUGAAUCCAGGAGAGGUGAGUGGAAUUCCGAGUGUAGAGGUGAAAUUCGCAGAUAUUCGGAAGAACACCAGUGGCGAAGGCGGCUCACUGGACUGGUAUUGACGCUGAGGUGCGAAAGCGUGGGGAGCAAACAGG